Molecule: ribosomal RNA, 253 nt
Filed under: uncultured bacterium
Lineage: Bacteria
Description: partial 16S ribosomal RNA
Rfam family: Bacterial small subunit ribosomal RNA
Source: RNAcentral
UACAGAGGCCUCGAGCGUUAGGCGGAAUCAUUGGGCGUAAAGCGCGUGUAGGCGGUUCGGUAAGUCUGCUGUGAAAGUCCAGGGCUCAACCCUGGGAUGCCGGUGGAUACUGUCGGACUAGAGUACGGAAGAGGCGAGUGGAAUUCCCGGUGUAGCGGUGAAAUGCGCAGAUAUCGGGAGGAACACCAAUUGCGAAGGCAGCUCGCUGGGACGUUACUGACGCUGAGACGCGAAAGCGUGGGGAGCAAACAGG